RNAcentral lists this ribosomal RNA (440 nucleotides) under uncultured bacterium. Its description in RNAcentral is "partial 16S ribosomal RNA". It matches the Rfam family "Bacterial small subunit ribosomal RNA", at positions 338 to 795 of the family's 1533-position model. The record is from RNAcentral.
CCUACGGGAGGCAGCAGUGGGGAAUAUUGCACAAUGGGGGAAACCCUGAUGCAGCGACGCCGCGUGAGUGAAGACGUAUUUCGGUAUGUAAAGCUCUGUCAGCAGGGAAGAAAAUGACGGUACCUGACCAAGAAGCACCGGCUAACUACGUGCCAGCAGCCGCGGUAAUACGGAGGGGGCCAGCGUUAUCCGGAUUUACUGGGGGUAAAGGGAGCGUAGACGGCAGGGCAAGUCUGGAGUGAAAGGCGGGGGCUCAACCCCCGGACUGCUCUGGAAACUGCCAGGCUGGAGUGCAGGAGAGGUAAGUGGAAUGCGUAGUGUAGCGGUGAAAUGCGUAGAUAUUAGGAGGAACACCAGUGGCGAAGGCGGCUUACUGGAGUGUAACUGACGUUGAGGCUCGAAAGCGUGGGUAGCAAACAGGAUUAGAUACCCGAGUAGUC